UGGUUUUGCUAAUAAUAAUCAAUACACCAAAAAAACAUGGUUACUAAACUUUUACCACAAAAAAAAAAACAUUCAUUUUCGUAAGGGGAAUAUGAGUGUUUGUUUUUUUGUAGUUUUUCAGUCAAUUGCAUACCGCUUUUAGCUGUACAAAACUUAAACAGUUUUCGUAAAUGCAUUUCAGAGAAAAGUGAAUUCUGAGAUUUGAAUAAUGCAUCUGACGUGUGUGUGAUGACGUCACGACGCACGUAUUUUGAUUUUUACCAGUCGUUCAAGGCGGACGGAUUCAGUCCCAAGAAGCUAAAGUUUUUCAAAGACAUUUGUAGGGAGGACUUUGCAGCUAAUGAUUUCCUUAGGCUGAACCAAAACCUGCCAGACUAAAGUUGAUUUGGGAGAGAAAGACGUUGUAAACUCAAUCAUCUUGACAUUCUUCAAUGAGUAAUUGUUCAAUUUUUAGGCAAAUACUGUACACUUUGAAUGCUGUGAAUAAAACUAUAUUUUAAAUAUAUUUAAAAUGAA
Molecule: long non-coding RNA, 516 nt
Organism: Paramisgurnus dabryanus
Lineage: Eukaryota; Metazoa; Chordata; Actinopteri; Cypriniformes; Cobitidae
Source: RefSeq, a predicted model, not a curated record